Molecule: non-coding RNA, 1000 nt
Organism: Phalacrocorax carbo (great cormorant)
Lineage: Eukaryota; Metazoa; Chordata; Aves; Suliformes; Phalacrocoracidae
Source: RefSeq, a predicted model, not a curated record
CACCACAAAAUGUCGCCAGGACUUCACAGGGACACCACACAAUGUCCACCAUGACACGAGGACUUGGCCACCCUGGGGACACCCUAAAAUGCCCACCAUGACAUGAGGACUUGGCCACCCCGGGGACACCCUAAAACGCCCACCAUGACACGAGGGUUGGCCACCACACAGUGUCCCCAUGACACGAGGACUUGGCCACCACGGGGACACCCUAAAACGCCCACCAUGACACGAGGACUUGGCCACCACGGGGACACCCUAAAACGCCCACCAUGAAACGAGGGGUUGGCCACCACGGGGACACCAUGACACGAGGACUUGGCCACCCCGGGGACACCCUAAAACACCCACCAUGACACAAGGGUUGGCCACCACACAGUGUCCCCAUGACACGAGGACUUGGCCACCACGGGGACACCCUAAAAUGCCCACCAUGACACGAGGGUUGGCCACCACACAAUGUCCACCAUGACAUGAGGGGUUGGCCACCACGGGGACACCAUAAAAUGCCCACCAUGACACAAGGGACUGGCCACCACGGGGACACCACAGAUGGUCCACCAUGACAUGAGGACUUGGCCACCACGGGGACACCCUAAAACGCCCACCAUGACAUGAGGGUUGGCCACCACACAGUGUCCACCAUGACACGAGGACUUGGCCACCCCAAAAUGCCCACCAUGACACGAGGGUUGGCCACCACACAACGUCCACCAUGACACGAGGACUUGGCCACCCCAGGGCCACCCUAAAACGCCCACCAUGACACGAGGGUUGGCCACCACACAACACCCACCAUGACACGAGGACUUGGCCACGAUGGGGCCACCCUAAAACGCCCACCAUGACACAAGGGUUGGCCACCACACAAUGCCCACCAUGACACGAGGGUUGGCCACCACGGGGCCACCCUAAAACGCCCACCAUGACACGAGGGUUGGCCACCACACAACGCCCACCAUGACACGAGGACUUGGCCACCCCGGGGCCACCAUAAAUG